GAUGAACGCUGACAGAAUGCUUAACACAUGCAAGUCAACUUGAACUUCGGUUUGGGUGGCGGACGGGUGAGUAACGCGUAAAGAACUUGCCUCACAGAUAGGGACAACAUUUGGAAACGAAUGCUAAUACCUGAUAUUAUGAUUAUAUGGCAUCGUAUAAUUAUGAAAGCUAUAUGCGCUGUGAGAGAGCUUUGCGUCCCAUUAGCUAGUUGGAGGGGUAACGGCUCACCAAGGCGAUGAUGGGUAGCCGGCCUGAGAGGGUGAUCGGCCACAAGGGGACUGAGACACGGCCCUUACUCCUACGGGAGGCAGCAGUGGGGAAUAUCGGACAAUGGACCAAGAGUCUGAUCCAGCAAUUCUGUGUGCACGAUGAAGUUUUUCGGAAUGUAAAGUGCUUUCAGUUGGGAAGAAAAAAAUGACGGUACCAACAGAAGAAGUGACGGCUAAAUACGUG
Molecule: ribosomal RNA, 454 nt
Filed under: uncultured bacterium
Lineage: Bacteria
Description: partial 16S ribosomal RNA
Rfam family: Bacterial small subunit ribosomal RNA
Source: RNAcentral